RNAcentral lists this microRNA precursor (55 nucleotides) under Monodelphis domestica (gray short-tailed opossum). RNAcentral's name for it is "microRNA mdo-mir-7388c precursor". Lineage: Eukaryota; Metazoa; Chordata; Mammalia; Didelphimorphia; Didelphidae. The record is from miRBase by way of RNAcentral.
UGCACAGACGUGACAUUUUAUGUCUUAUGAUUAAAAUAGUCACCUUUUGUGUAAC